GGACAGCGGUAAGCCCUUUGAAAUCGGUCUGAGUGCUCACCUGAACCGGUCUCGAAAACCGUUAUACCCGUUUCGGGUAUCGAGAGUUCGAAUCUCUCCCUCUCCG
RNAcentral lists this transfer RNA (106 nucleotides) under Bacteroidota bacterium. RNAcentral describes it as "tRNA-OTHER". The record is from RNAcentral. Lineage: Bacteria; Pseudomonadati; Bacteroidota.